Molecule: long non-coding RNA, 638 nt
Organism: Malaya genurostris
Lineage: Eukaryota; Metazoa; Arthropoda; Insecta; Diptera; Culicidae
Exons: 3
Source: RefSeq, a predicted model, not a curated record
AUAAUAUUUUUUAGUAAUGACAUUUUUAAUGACUCGUGUAAGGGCCAGUAUUGUUUUGAUAUGAACAUGCGAUGCUCCAUGGUGAUAUCGCUUCCCGGAAUAUUUCAGCAAGUAGCACCCAAAAGUUGAUUACUGAUAGGAUGUGUUGGUUGCUGUCUGCUGCUCUCAUCAGACUUAACAAUAUUGGAAAUAUUCGAGUUCCUGAAUCCCGAGAAGCAAGACGUUGUGCUACGUUUCUCACGGCCUAUGGCAUUCAGAGUUGAUGUGUGUUUGACGAAAAGGCACUGAAUGACAUAUUCUCGGUGUCGAAAUGAACAGGACAUAAACACACUCUUCGCAGAAAUCUCAUGGUUUGGCCUGUUAAUGUAUUAUUUCACGAGUCAACAGUUCGCAACGAUGAAGAGGUUGAGUCGUGAAGAUCCGCGAUACCUGCAUAUUUAAAACUGGCAAACUCUGUUUCCGUAUCACAAUGUGCUUGAUUAUUAUAUAGCUAAUCAACUGCAUCUCACACUCUCGGACAUGGCGAAAUUCGUUAAAUUCAAUUCACAAUCAAUUCGUUUGUAGUAUAUUAACGUUGUAAUUAAAUUUUAAAGUUACAAUCUGUGAUAUAUCAAAAAUGUAUUGUUUUAAUAAUAUGU